RNAcentral lists this unclassified non-coding RNA (346 nucleotides) under uncultured fungus. Its description in RNAcentral is "sequence contains ITS2". The record is from RNAcentral. Lineage: Eukaryota; Fungi.
AACGCAACUUGCGCUCUUUGGUAUUCCGAGGAGCAUGCCUGUUUGAGUAUCAUUUAAAUAUCUCAACCCUCAUCUUUUUUUGAAAGUGAGGCUUUGGAGUUUGGAAGCUUGCAGGAGAAAUAAAAAAGGCCUGCUCUUCUGAAAUGCAUGAGUGAAGGAAUUUUCUUGUUGACCGAUCCCUUUCACCGGUGUGAUAAAUGCUUUAUAUCUAUUAUGCCACCUUGUGAAGAUCAGAGAUCAAGGGAAAAUUGCCUUUGCUUCACAAUUGUCUCUCCAGACUGAAGAAGCAUUUCUUCAAAUUUUGACCUUUGAUCUCAAAUCAGGUAGGACUACCCGCUGAACUUAA